This is a long non-coding RNA of Cylas formicarius (sweet potato weevil), 2328 nucleotides long. RefSeq lists it as uncharacterized. The transcript has 3 exons. NCBI's taxonomy places the organism in Eukaryota, Metazoa, Arthropoda, Insecta, Coleoptera, Brentidae. The record is from RefSeq and is a predicted model, not a curated record.
AUAUUUCGUUGUUUGAAUUAGCUUGGGCGGUUGUGGAUUGAUUGUCUAUCUCUUUUGCUAGAUAGUAAUUUUUAUUUGGUUGAAUUUGAUUUAUAUGAGUAUUGCCUGAUGAAGUAUCCAUAGGUUCCGGUUUGUCAAAUUUUGGGGUUGGAUUUUGGUUAUAUUGAUUAAACAUGGGUCUUGCAAUUGAAUGCAUAGGUCUUUGCAUAAAUAGGUAAGGUCUUGGAUUAAAUUGAUGUCUUUGGAUUAUCGGGUUAUUUCUUUGAAUAUUCGGGAAGUUUUGUCUUUGAUUAUUUAGAAAAUUUGGUCCUGGAAUAUUCUGAAAAUAGGGUCUUAUUUGGAAAUUAUUUUGAAAUCUCGGGGGAUUAAAAUUAUUAAAACUUGGUCGAAUUGUUGGCGGUUAAAAUGGGCUGGUAAAAUUUUGCGAAGCUAAUGGGUAAUUAAUUGGGUAUUGGCCUAGUAGAGGUUUUGAUUUAUUUUGCAUUGCAACAGGUGUAGUUUUGGUUGAAAUAUCAACACGGUUAUUAUAAGCGAUAAAGUUUUCUUCUUCUAACGAGAACGACAUGGCUUCUUCGAGAGAUUUUGGAUUUCUUAAAUGUACAACUAACUGCAUAUAGUAAGUAAGACCGUUUAUAAAUGUUUUUAAAAUCAGAUCUUCAAAUUGGAUAAUUUUUUGAGUUUUUAUAUUGAUAUCUUUAAUUUUUGAAAAUAAAAUACUACGGGCAUCUGGCAAGCGUAAACCAAAAUUAUGCGCACUUUCACUACUAUUGGGUUUCAUUGAAAUUAUAUCCUGUAAAAGACAAUCAACUGAUCUUUGAUUGGAGAACGUUGCCAAAAGGGUUGUUUUGAUUUUUACCCAACUAUCGAGUUCAGAACGAGAAGCUAUUAAAUCAGCUGCUCUACCUAUUAGUUUACUAAUUAUUGUAUCGAUUAAACAAACAUUUAUUGAAGCACUUGGGUUAUUUACAUUUUGAUGAUUGGUUAGAUAAUUUUCGCAGAUUCUAAUAAAACGAUUUAUUUGCUUGGGAUUGCCGUCGAAAUGAGGGAUGUUAUCCGCUUGGUACCUAAUUAAUUGAAGAUUCACCGUAUCCGGCAUUGUGUUUAAAUUAAUGUCAGUAUCGGAAUUGGAAUUAGAUGAUGUAUUAAAAUUAUCAACAGAAGCUACUCUAGGUUUUAACACUAACGUUUCAAAACGAGAAAUUAAUCUUUCCAGAUUUUUUAAAAAACUUUAUUCAAGCGAGAUGACAAAAAGCUGGCGAUGUGGUUCGCACCGUGGUUUCAUAUAAACAAAUUGCUGACACUUUGGGAAACUAGUAAUACAAUAUAUAUGGGAAACUUUAUUCAGCGGUUUACAAUAUUAAAGCAUUUAUAACUCGAGUGAAUAACUUACAAUUGCACAAUAGCGUAAUGUUUUUUCUUUUCGAUUCUUCGUACACAGAAUUCCUGGUUUCUUUCUCCAAAUAUUGGUACCGAAUCUAAUUUUUUACGAAAACUUUUUCCGAACUUAUUAUCGGUUUUAACGGAGCAAAUAAAACAGCGUAUGCUCUGACCUCGCAUCUCUUAUGUUCUAUAGUUUCUUGUAAUAUUGCCCUUGUCCUCCUUUGGUAACAGGAUUGGAAACCAAUAUUUAUUUAAUACACUACUUGAAAUAUAUUUUAAUGAAAUCGUUUGGUUAGAGUAUCUCUUGUCCUUACUUGUUCAUAGAUUAAGAUAGUGUUGAAUAAGUAAAUUAAUUACUCUCCAUUUUAUUUUAUUUUUUUUGACUAUUUUCUAUACGAACAUAAAAAAUAAAUAAACAAAAUAAAAAUUAAUAUCAUUAUUUUCAAUGGCUAACGCAAUAAAGCUAUUUAUUAUUAUUAUUAUUUUUCCUCCUUAUUAGGGUAGCAGCUUUAGUGGGGUUUAUUAACCAGUCACUAAAGUUGGGGGGGGGUUAUGUCUCCGGGAUAUUCAGGGUCUUUCGGACGAUUUUGCAAGUUUCAAGUAUUACGGACUUUUGCAUUUUUGUAACGAUGGUUUUAUUCGCUAUAUUCAGUCUUUCCAGGUAUCCUGCAAGCUUCUUGGUAACUAGCCCAGUGGCCGAUAUAAUUACAGGGAUAACAUGUACUGCUUUUAGGGUUGUGGUCCGAGGGAUGUGAGACGUCGAUGAAAUACGCCUUUUUAUUAGCCUUAUCCAGCAGAAUAAUGUCUGGUCUAUUGCUGGCUAUUGGUUUAUCUGUUACUAUAGGUGUAUCCCAGUAUAGCCGAUAAUUUUCGUUCUCAAGAACUGGAGCAGGUUCGACUUCUGCGUUUCUGUUGCUGCGAGCAGUCAAUUCUUCAUCAACCUCAGCG